This 214-nucleotide long non-coding RNA is filed under the name Oryza sativa Indica Group (long-grained rice). Its description in RNAcentral is "lncRNA OsMH63_09G010290". Lineage: Eukaryota; Viridiplantae; Streptophyta; Magnoliopsida; Poales; Poaceae. The record is from RNAcentral.
AUGGAGAACAAUGAGUUUCUGGUUUAUUCUUAUGUCAGCAAGAAAUUGGAUAAUAUCGAGAACCUCCUUGACAAGAUGGAAGCUUUGAGAAAAGAAAGUGAUGAGGCUGAUGCAAGGUUCGCUCAGCUUAGACCAUACAAGGCGUUUGCAUGUGUCUCAGGUAUUUUUGCCUUCUGCUAUUGUGCCAGUCUUUGGUUGAGAUAGCCCAUGAUGG